UGGGGUGGGGUGACUGCGUACCUUUUGUAUAAUGGGUCAGCGACUUAUAUUCUGUAGCAAGGUUAACCGCAUAGGGGAGCCGGAGGGAAACCGAGUCUUAAUUGGGCGUUAAGUUGCAGGGUAUAGACCCGAAACCCGGUGAUCUAGCCAUGGGCAGGUUGAAGGUUGGGUAACACUAACUGGAGGACCGAACCGACUAAUGUUGAAAAAUUAGCGGAUGACCUGUGGCUGGGGGUGAAAGGCCAAUCAAACCGGGAGAUAGCUGGUUCUCCCCGAAAGCUAUUUAGGUAGCGCCUCGUGAAUUCAUCUCCGGGGGUAGAGCACUGUUUCGGCCAGGGGGCCAUCCCGGCUUACCAAUCCGAUGCAAACUGCGAAUACCGGAGAAUGUUAUCACGGGAGACACACGGCGGGUGCUAACGUCCGUCGUGAAGAGGGAAACAACCCAGACCGCCAGCUAAGGUCCCAAAGUCAUGGUUAAGUGGGAAACGAUGUGGGAAGGCCCAGACAGCCAGGAUGUUGGCUUAGAAGCAGCCAUCAUUUAAAGAAAGCGUAAUAGCUCACUGGUCGAGUCGGCCUGCGCGGAAGAUGUAACGGGGCUAAACCAU
Molecule: ribosomal RNA, 605 nt
Filed under: Salmonella enterica
Lineage: Bacteria; Pseudomonadati; Pseudomonadota; Gammaproteobacteria; Enterobacterales; Enterobacteriaceae
Description: partial 23S ribosomal RNA
Rfam family: Bacterial large subunit ribosomal RNA
Source: RNAcentral